UAUUAUACAUUAAUUUUUUCUGAAUAAAUUCAUCAUCCACAUUUUCAUUAAAAAUGAAAUUUCUAACUAAAAUAAUUUAAAAAUUUUUCUAAAAUUAGAUAAAAACCAGGAUUAGAUACCCUGCUAUUCUAACAACAUACAAUAAUUCAAAGAAUUUCCAAACAAAAUAAAUUUGACGGUAUUAACUUUUACAAAGGAAUUUGUUUCUUAAUCGUCAACACACGUAAUACCUUACUUAAUAUUCAUUAUGUAUGUAUACCACCGUAAAUGAAAUUAUUAAAAAUUAAUUUCUUAAUUAACAAUUUCAUAAAAUCAGGUCAAGGUGCAAUAUUAUUAAGAUGAAAUGAAUUACAUUAAUUUAUAUAUACAUAUAAUUUUUGAAAAAAAAAUUAAAAAAAGAAUUUGUUAGUAAAAUUUUAUCAUCAUGAUAAUUUGAAAAUUACCAUUAAUAUG
This 453-nucleotide ribosomal RNA is filed under the name Peripatus sp. MCZ 131412. RNAcentral's name for it is "partial 12S ribosomal RNA". The record is from RNAcentral. Lineage: Eukaryota; Metazoa; Onychophora; Udeonychophora; Euonychophora; Peripatidae.